GAUGAACGCUGGCGGCGUGCUUAACACAUGCAAGUCGAACGAAGCAUUUAAGACAGAUUUCUUUGGGAUGAAGUUUUUUAUGACUGAGUGGCGGACGGGUGAGUAACGCGUGGGUAACCUGCCUCACACAGGGGGAUAGCAGUUGGAAACGACUGGUAAUACCGCAUAAGCACACAGCUUCGCAUGAAGCAGUGUGAAAAACUCCGGUGGUGUGAGAUGGACCCGCGUCUGAUUAGGUAGUUGGUGAGGUAACGGCCCACCAAGCCGACGAUCAGUAGCCGACCUGAGAGGGUGACCGGCCACAUUGGGACUGAGACACGGCCCAGACUCCUACGGGAGGCAGCAGUGGGGAAUAUUGCGACAAUGGAGGAAACUCUGAUGCAGCGACGCCGCGUGAGCG
RNAcentral lists this ribosomal RNA (400 nucleotides) under uncultured bacterium. RNAcentral describes it as "bacterial SSU rRNA". It matches the Rfam family "Bacterial small subunit ribosomal RNA", at positions 28 to 407 of the family's 1533-position model. The record is from RNAcentral.